UGGGGAAUAUUGCGCAAUGGGCGAAAGCCUGACGCAGCAACGCCGCGUGAGUGAUGAAGGCCUUCGGGUCGUAAAGCUCUGUCGGAGGGAACGAAUGCUCCAGGGGUUAACAGCCUCAGGAGGUGACGGUACCCUCAAAGGAAGCACCGGCUAACUCUGUGCCAGCAGCCGCGGUAAUACGGGGGGUGCAAGCGUUAAUCGGAAUUAUUGGGCGUAAAGGGUGCGUAGGUUGUUUGAUAAGAUAUAUGUGAAAUACCUGGGCUCAACCUGGGAAGGUCAUAUAAGACUGUCAGACUCGAGUAUGGGAGAGGGUAGAGGAAUUUCCGGUGUAGCGGUGAAAUGCGUAGAUAUCGGAAGGAACACCUGAGGUGAAGACGGUUGCUGGGCUGACACUGACGCUGAGGCGCGAAAGCCAGGGGAGCAAACGGGAUUAGAUACCCCUGUAGUCCCUGAGCGGGCUGGCAAGGCGCAU
RNAcentral lists this ribosomal RNA (472 nucleotides) under uncultured bacterium. RNAcentral's name for it is "bacterial SSU rRNA". It matches the Rfam family "Bacterial small subunit ribosomal RNA", at positions 355 to 825 of the family's 1533-position model. The record is from RNAcentral.